This 21-nucleotide non-coding RNA is filed under the name Caenorhabditis elegans. Lineage: Eukaryota; Metazoa; Nematoda; Chromadorea; Rhabditida; Rhabditidae. RNAcentral also lists the same sequence under 1 other name. The record is from RNAcentral.
UGACACGCAAAUUCGUGAAGC